RNAcentral lists this ribosomal RNA (253 nucleotides) under uncultured bacterium. RNAcentral describes it as "partial 16S ribosomal RNA". It matches the Rfam family "Bacterial small subunit ribosomal RNA", at positions 524 to 776 of the family's 1533-position model. The record is from RNAcentral.
CACGUAGGGCGCAAGCGUUGUCCGGAAUUAUUGGGCGUAAAGAGCUCGUAGGCGGUCUGUUGCGUCCGCUGUGAAAACCCGGGGCUUAACCCUGGGCUGGCAGUGGAUACGGACAGACUAGAGGUAGGUAGGGGAGAAUGGAAUUCCCGGUGUAGCGGUGAAAUGCGCAGAUAUCGGGAGGAACACCGGUGGCGAAGGCGGUGCUCUGGGCCGGAACUGACGCUGAGGAGCGAAAGCGUGGGGAGCGAACAGG